CCGUAUAUGGAUUUUGAUGAACAUUGGUAUUUUAAGACAUACAUGGAUGCUGGAGAAUAUGGAUUAGGAUUGUUGUCGACGUCGUUGGUGCCAUUGAAUGAUUGUCCGAGGAAUUCGUACUAUAUGGAUGCGGUGUUCGUGGAUGGAGAUGGGAAGCCGUAUGUUCAAGAGAAUAUAAUAUGUGUGUUUGAGAGAUAUGCUGGAGAUAUCAGUUGGCGCCAUACUGAUACCCUUCUUCCAAAUGUAAGUCUAUUUUUCUUUGAGAAAUGUCUUUUUGCUUUAUCUGCUUCACAAUCUUUUACAUUUUCAGUAUCUAAGUUUUUUAUUUGUAUUUCAAUUAACUCAUCCCAUUUCAAAAUGUCAAUUUAGUACCUACACAUUUUAAUGUUUUUUUUUAAAAAAGAUUUAAGUUUUAUAUAAGAGAAGGUUAGAGUAUUAAAAAAGAAAUAUGUAGCUCAAUUGACAUAGUGGUUAAUUAUAUUAUCGAACUUAAGGUUGGAGGAUCAAUUGUUCACCCGAAAUGUUUUAACUACCGUUAUCAUUAUCAUUAUAAUUAUCACAAAACUUAUCUACCAUAUCUACUAAUGUAUGAGAAAGAUAAUCCGAAGUUUGAGUCUGAAAUGUUUUUGAUUUUGAGUUUGAAUUGGUAGGGAAGAGGAGAGGCUAGACAAAAAGUGACACUUGUAGCUCGCAUGGUAUCAACCGUGGGAAACUACGACUACAUUAUUGAUUGGGAGUUUCAAACAGAUGGUUUAAUUCGUGUUGAGGUGAGAUGAACUAUCUAUUCAUUAAUACAUUUUCAAUCUCUUAAUUAAAAUCUAAUCUUUCUAAUUACACAUUAUUCAGCAAUUUAGAGUAACGUGGUGUGUACACUGAUCUCUAAAACUCUAUUGACAAACAAUGAUCUGAUCAGGUUGGGCUAUCAGGGAUGCUAAUGAUAAAAGCGACACCAAACGAGUAUGCAGUAAACAAAGAUAAUGAAGGAUUUGAGCCAUUGGUUUCAGAAAAUGCAAUAGGAGUGGUUCAUGAUCACUACAUAACAUUUUACCUAGACAUGGAUGUGGAUGGUGUGAAUAAUUCAUUUGUAAACAUUGAUCUUGUUAAAGAAGAACAAGUUGAUAACAAAUCACCAAAAUCCACACCAAGGAAAAGCAUAUACAAACCAUAUAAAAAAGUAGCUAAAAUGGAAGAUGAGGCUAAAAUUAUACUAAGCCUUGUUGAUCCCUCAGAAUUUCAUGUGGUGAACCCAUCCAAAUUGUCCAGAUUGGGAAACCCAUCAGGGUAUAAGAUUGUCCCUACAGCCACAGCUGCUAGCUUGCUUGAUUUGGACGAUCCUCCACAAAUUAGAAGUGCUUUCACUAAUAACCAGGUACUUAUUAUCCAUACUGAAACUAUUAACGAUUAGCAUUUUCAUUGGAAACAUAUUUAUAUAUCAAUGUAUUUUAUGGUAGUUUGAAUAAUAAUGAAAAAUCUUGAUAGAUUUGGGUAACUCCGUACAAGAAAAAUGAGCAAUGGGCAGGUGGGUUUUUGACGUACCAGGGCAGGGGAGAUGACACAUUAGCAACCUGGUCUCAAAGGUAUAAUUUUACAAAUAUAUCUAUUUUUCUAUCUUACUGUAAAAAUUUGUAACGGUUUUGAUUUGGUUAAACAUUGAUCAUGAAACAGAAACCGUCCCAUCGAGAAUCGAGACAUAGUCUUGUGGUAUACUUUAGGGUUUCAUCACGUCCCAUGCCAAGAAGAUUUCCCAGUAAUGCCAACUGUGUCCUCUAGCUUUGAUCUAAAGCCCGUUAAUUUCUUCGACAGAAAUCCCAUUCUUCGGGCAGCCCCUGCUUCCGUAGAUGACUUGCCUGUGUGUAAUGCUCGAUCUUCGCUAAACUUUUAGGUUUGACACAUGAGUUCAAAAUGAAAAUACACAUGUUAUAGUUUUUAAGAGUGUCUCAUCGAACUUAGUUUAAUUUAUAGUUUUUGGGGUUGGAGUUUCCAUUGCUUAGUUAUUAUAU
This 2000-nucleotide long non-coding RNA is filed under the name Cucumis sativus (cucumber). RNAcentral's name for it is "long non-coding RNA (CSAT_LNC001772)". Lineage: Eukaryota; Viridiplantae; Streptophyta; Magnoliopsida; Cucurbitales; Cucurbitaceae. The record is from RNAcentral.